GUGCGCAUGCGCGGGGCUCAGCUGGCGGCGGUGCGCAUCCCUGCCGUGCGUGCAUCCCCGCUCCGGGACGUCGUGUUGCUGCUUGCCAAAUUGCGGCCGGGUGGUGGAGCCCCUGACCUCGUUAUCUGUCCUAGGAAGGCUGCAGCCGAAGCCGGGCAAGGAGCCCCAGGAUGCAGCAGAUUGCUGCCAAGACAGACGUGCCUGCGAGCAUCGUUUAUCCAUUGGAACGCGAGGGGCUGAGAAUGCUGCAUCUUUGGUUGAGUGUUAAAAAAAUAGCAGUUUGGUUUGAGAAGGGCUUGUUGCAAACAUCCGUGAGUUUCAGAGGUCCCAGAAGGGAGCAGAGCUCUGCCUGCUGCACCUCUGUUGGCGGGAGGAUGCAGAGAGCUUGGGGUGCCCAGGGAGCCACGGGUCUGCAGGGCUCACCGUGCCAAUAAGCAGUGUGCUGUGUGGCUCAGAGAAGAGCCAGGGAGGACUCAGCAGAACCCCGGCAAAGUGGAGCCCGGGGUACCUCGGGUAUGUCCUGAGAGCAUGGGGGCACCAGCACUGCAUCCGCUGCUGUGGGGCUGUGCUGGGUGCACAGGGGCUCCCUGGGGAAGGAGUAAAUGUGCUGCAGUGGGAGUUGGGGGGGGAGGGCCAGCAGGGAAAUGUGGGUGAGCAGAGAGCCUCAGUGCAGGGAUGGGAUGGGGAAGGAACUUCCUCAAGGUGCUCGAGUCUCAAAUGCUUGCCCCAGUGUCCAGAGAAUGGGGGCUUGCAGGUAGAGAAGGCUGUGCUGCUCAUGUGCUCCUGUGUGCUCUGCUUUACUACUCGGUGUUCAGCCGAGGAUGUAUUCAGCUAGCAAAGAAAUACUGCCCUCUUCUGAAAAGGUGUUCCUGUGCUGCUGCAAGGCUGCCAGCCCCUGCCGUGGUAUCAAUGCAGCUCUUAAGGGCACUGAGCACGGAGGGCUCCUCACUCGCUGGCAGCACUGGGUGCAUGGGGCUUUUCCAGGUGUGCUGGCAGCAGAGCAGGCAGCUGCCCUGUGUGCAUGGCCAGAGCCUGCCCAUGUCUUGCAGCAAACAAGAUGUGGGCAGGGUGCUGCUGGCCUGCUGCAUGCUUCUAUCCCCUCUGCUACCUGCAGCCGGCACAGCUGGAGCACACCUUGGUCCUGCUUUGGCUCCUCCAUGAGGGAAUGUAAUAACGUUUAAAUAGCUUAGAAAAGUCACCCUCUCUGCUUUUUCUGCAGAGGACAGGCAGAGCAGGGUGGGAAGCUUGGAACAGAGGACAUGCCUGCAUCCUGCCAGACCCACGGUGUCCAAAAGCCCUUGCUAUAUCAAAGGCUAUAUCCAGCAGCAAUUCAGGGAGUGACACUGCAGUGAUUGCCUGACCCAUCCUUUGUGGCCCUAACCCACCUGACCCCAUAGCGGCCUGCCUAUGGCACCUAUAGCACCUCCAUAGCAAAGCAUUGACCUCCUCACCUCAGUCCUGGUUGUACAAAGCUUCCAGCUGCUGCAAGGCAGCAGUUAGAGGGCACGUUUUUCCGAGAGCUGAGCCCUCAGCCUCUGGGUGCCUUUCCCAAAGGACUCAGUCCUUUGGUCCCGACAGCUGUAGCCCAUGCAGUUUAUGCCUUGAGGGGCUUAAAUGUUUAAAAUUUGAGUCUGGAAAGUGAAAUAAAGACAUUACUAGAAAAUGCCAGGCUGUAGCAGCCUCAAAGCAUGCAGAGGCCAAGCUGCUGUGGGGCUUUGUGGCAUCACUCCUGCCCACAGGCCUGGUGGUCUGUCCCUUCCAGAGGGAUACCUGGGGGUGAUUUUUUUGGAUACCUGGAUACCACCAAUGCCCAAAGAACUGAGACUUCCUAACCUCUCUUCCAUGGGGUAACAUCCUCUUUGAAGGCAGGAUGAUGCAUUACCAGUGCUGCUUGGGUGUUGGUAUUGCUGCUCCAAGUGGCAGCAAAGCAGCCCCUGCCCUUGACACUGAGGUGCUAAUGAUGCCCCUCUCCACCUGCAGCAGCAAUCAAGGCCUGGAAAGGCCAACGCUGGGACACUGCAACCCGAGUCUGCUCAGCAGAGGGCAGGAUGAACCUGAAGGAUAGCCCUAACGAAGUGGCGUUCAGUGUGACAACACAGUACCAGGACGUGUGCUGCUGCGAGGCCACUGUGUGCCUGUGGAGCUGGGAUGGCAUGGUGGGGAGCUCCGACAUCGAUGGCACCAUCACCAAGUAAAGGGCCCUUCUCCUUCCCUUUGGCUUUGCUUCACCCAUUAGGGGUAAAGUGUUCUUUCAAGGCAGCCUGGAAGGAUGUCGUACUCCGUGACCUUCUGGAUGCCCACCAGGCUGGAUCAGCCCCACUUGAUCUCCUUUCCUUUUAGGUCCGAUGCUCUUGGGCACAUCUUACCGCAUCUGGGAAAAGCCUGGACUCAUCGUGGCAUUGCUAAGCUCUUCCACAACAUCCACCUGUAAGCGUCAGCUCAGCUAGGACCCCAAAGGGAAAUGGGAGGUUGAUAGAGAGGCUGAGCAGGAGCUGGCAUGGGGGCUCCUGACUCACAGAUGCUGGAUAACACAGCCUUAACUUUCUGCUGUCAGCGAUGGCUGAGUCUUGCUGUGCUGCCUGGGAUGCUGGGGGCACAUGGCAGGGGUUUUUCACAUGCAGCACUGUUGCAAACUCUGGCAUGAGUAGUUUAAGUGACCCUCGGUCCUCUUGUUGCAAUCCACGCGAGAGGGAGCACAGUAGCAGAAGCAGUGGGUCCUUUCCCCUUGGCUGUGUGAUGCUCCCAGCCUCUCUGGCCGCUGAGAGGCACUGUGGGCCCGCAGAUGGCUCAUCCCCACCUCAGCUGGUUCUCCCCAUCUCCUGUCUUAUAAGAGCUCUGUGCACCCCAACCUGAGCCGGGGGCCGAGCAGGGAGCUGUGCCCAGCUCACCUUGCUGCUGGUGGGGGUGCUGCUCCCUGGGUCUCUCAGCAGCAAGGCAGAACAAGCAGGAAGGCUCCCCUACGUUCUCAGGAAUGGCUACAAGCUCCUCUAAUUCUCAGCCUGUGCAAUCUGCAUGGCACACAUCACCAAGGGCCACCCCAAGGGGAUGAAGGAGCAGGGCUGUGCCCUCCCCAGGAGCCCCAGCCUCUUCUCUGCCUCCCACAGGUACAGUCCUCUCCCAUCACUGCCCUGCACCCAGGGGAUGGCAUUCCCCUCCCUGCUGCUACACUGGGGGAUGCUGCAGCCUUAAAUUUGCCUUCCUUGGUCCAGGACGCCUUCCUGGGAGGCAGCAGGGCAUAACUUGUCUUCCUUAGAGCUUCACGGUGAAGCUCUCGCAGUGCACAAAAUCUCUUCUGCUUUCCAAGUAUCUACUCUGAGCCCCCAGGCUGCCUGGCUGCGUGUAGUCCAGCCUGCAUUCUGUCCUCUCACCUCUCACAGCCUUGGGAUGCAUGGUGGUGAUACCUCCCUGCAGCUCUCAUGCCUUCCGGCCCUCCAUGUCAGGAUGUCAGUGCUUACAAGCAGGUGGGUCUGCCUGAGAGCUGCAUCUUCACAUAGCCAACCCCAAGGGAGAGACGAUCCAGGAGCUGAUGAAGAAUCUCAGGUCAAUAUAAGUGAUUAUGUUACCUCUUAUAGGUACGAGCAGAUAGUGGAGGUGAUGGAGCUGAUCUUCCCUCCCCUUGGGAAGGAGGGCAGCAUGGCUCUGCUGUGCCCUGAGUGCAGCCACUUCACCUACUGGAGACCCCCCCCCCCUGCCUGCCAUUGACUUGAAAGCCUUCUCCUGACCCCAGCACCUAUGAGGACUGCCCCAGGACUCCCUGCGAGUCCUGCCAGGACCGGGUGCUCCUCAUUUGGUGCUCAGCCAUUUUGUCCUGCUAACACACAUCACAUUCUGCACUAAGGCAGCUCUUCUCACAGCACAAAGGGAGCCGUAAAAAGAGCUCUGAGUACCGAAAACUUCCUGUACUUCUCUGAGCCAAGAGUCUUUAUGUUCUUCAUCUUUAAACCUGGCUAUCUUUUAAAGGUGAUGAUGGGUCACCCUUAUUUAUAGAUGAGCCUCUGGCAGCCCAGCACUGCUGUGUGGUGCAGCUGCUGGGGUGAAGCUGUCCCGUGGCUUAACUUGUAAAGCUGGAUGGAAGCUGCUGGGCUUUGAGCAUUUUUCACUCGCAGCAAUAAUUAAUAGACAGUGCUUCAAUCCAGGCUGCCUCUUGUCCACUGCAGCCCCAUGCAGUACAAGGCAGCAGCGCUGCUGGGCUCCUUCCUCUGCUCCGCAUCCAGCUUUUCCUUCUCUGAUGCUCUGUGAGUGUGAACCACUUCCUGCUACUCUGAUUCCCUCUCUUCCUGUCUAAAUAGCCUCAGUGUUUAACUUGAGCUCCCUGCCUUAACACAAGCCGGGUGUUGUGCUUCUCUCUUUUUUUUUCCCUAAAGCCACAGAAGUCAUUUUGAUACUGGAAACCUCAGCAAGAAGUAUUUUAUUUUUCCUUUCCAGUACAAACAGUCUUUCAGCUUUUAACGUCUGAACAAUGUACAAGGUUUCAAAAACAAUAAAACACAGCCUUUUACCAGUA
This is a long non-coding RNA of Gallus gallus (chicken), 4504 nucleotides long. RefSeq lists it as uncharacterized. The record is from RefSeq and is a predicted model, not a curated record. NCBI's taxonomy places the organism in Eukaryota, Metazoa, Chordata, Aves, Galliformes, Phasianidae. The transcript is spliced from 2 exons.